GGGGGUGAACAGGGUUCGACGGGAGUGGCCAGAGGUACAGACAGCAGGCCGGAGUUGGUCGAUGGCUCCGUAAAAAUCGACCGAACAAUAAACAACGAGAAAAUCGUUCCUGUGCAGCAUUUCAAACCCUUUAUGGGUUUUGGGAUGAUGCCCAUAGCCGCUUAACGCGGCUUCGUUUUACCUGAGAUACUCGCUAUCGGGAUAAAACGUCAAUGAGCGGGUUAGUUUUAAGCGGCUUGUGCCGUCGGUUUAAAAUGAAAUCAAAACGGCGCUGGUUUAUAACGUAAUCCCGUCCGGUGACG
RNAcentral lists this transfer-messenger RNA (302 nucleotides) under Candidatus Endomicrobium macrotermitis. RNAcentral's name for it is "partial transfer-messenger RNA". It matches the Rfam family "transfer-messenger RNA", at positions 1 to 279 of the family's 374-position model. Rfam says of the family: Bacterial tmRNA, also known as 10Sa RNA or SsrA, is named for its dual tRNA and mRNA-like properties. Its role is to liberate the mRNA from a stalled ribosome. To accomplish this part of the tmRNA is used as a reading frame that ends in a translation stop signal. Lineage: Bacteria; Pseudomonadati; Elusimicrobiota; Endomicrobiia; Endomicrobiales; Endomicrobiaceae. The record is from RNAcentral.